RNAcentral lists this ribosomal RNA (778 nucleotides) under uncultured bacterium. RNAcentral describes it as "bacterial SSU rRNA". It matches the Rfam family "Bacterial small subunit ribosomal RNA", at positions 103 to 861 of the family's 1533-position model. The record is from RNAcentral.
UGGGUGAGUAACACGUGGGGAACCUGCCCCUAAGUCUGGGAUACCAUUUGGAAACAGGUGCUAAUACCGGAUAAUAAAGCAGAUCGCAUGAUCAGCUUUUGAAAGGCGGCGUAAGCUGUCGCUAAGGGAUGGCCCCGCGGUGCAUUAGCUAGUUGGUAAGGUAACGGCUUACCAAGGCGACGAUGCAUAGCCGAGUUGAGAGACUGAUCGGCCACAUUGGGACUGAGACACGGCCCAAACUCCUACGGGAGGCAGCAGUAGGGAAUCUUCCACAAUGGACGCAAGUCUGAUGGAGCAACGCCGCGUGAGUGAAGAAGGUUUUCGGAUCGUAAAGCUCUGUUGUUGGUGAAGAAGGAUAGAGGUAGUAACUGGCCUUUAUUUGACGGUAAUCAACCAGAAAGUCACGGCUAACUACGUGCCAGCAGCCGCGGUAAUACGUAGGUGGCAAGCGUUGUCCGGAUUUAUUGGGCGUAAAGCGAGCGCAGGCGGAAAAAUAAGUCUAAUGUGAAAGCCCUCGGCUUAACCGAGGAACUGCAUCGGAAAACUGUUUUUCUUGAGUGCAGAAGAGGAGAGUGGAACUCCAUGUGUAGCGGUGGAAUGCGUAGAUAUAUGGAAGAACACCAGUGGCGAAGGCGGCUCUCUGGUCUGCAACUGACGCUGAGGCUCGAAAGCAUGGGUAGCGAACAGGAUUAGAUACCCUGGUAGUCCAUGCCGUAAACGAUGAGUGCUAAGUGUUGGGGAAGGUUUCCGCCCUCUCAGUGCUGCCAGCUAACGCAUU